UCAUCACUGCAGGAUUCUGAGGAGGCAGGCAGGAUACAUGCGUGAUUCUCCUUCCCAUCUUUGCACAGAACCUAUACUCGUGCACUGCAUCUGCUUUCCUCUUGCUGAUGACAUGAUUCCUGUUUGAAUCUGUUGACAAGAUUCUGAAAGCUGAACAGAGAAUUCUGGCACUGCACUGGGUAGGAAAAAGCAUUUCAAGAAAUAGAUAAUAUCAAGGACAUCAGGACACCGGGAGUGGGAGAGAUUGGACUGGGAGACUCAGCAG
RNAcentral lists this long non-coding RNA (265 nucleotides) under Homo sapiens (human). RNAcentral's name for it is "non-protein coding lnc-SOX5-5:32". The record is from RNAcentral. Lineage: Eukaryota; Metazoa; Chordata; Mammalia; Primates; Hominidae.